Molecule: ribosomal RNA, 158 nt
Filed under: Ludisia discolor
Lineage: Eukaryota; Viridiplantae; Streptophyta; Magnoliopsida; Asparagales; Orchidaceae
Description: 5.8S ribosomal RNA
Rfam family: 5.8S ribosomal RNA
About the family: 5.8S ribosomal RNA (5.8S rRNA) is a component of the large subunit of the eukaryotic ribosome. It is transcribed by RNA polymerase I as part of the 45S precursor that also contains 18S and 28S rRNA.
Source: RNAcentral
UGACUCUCGGCAAUGGAUAUCUUGGCUCUUGCAUCGAUGAAGAGCGCAGCGAAAUGCGAUACGUGGUGUGAAUUGCAGAAUCCCGUGAACCAUCAAAUCUUUGAACGCAAGUUGCGCCCGAGGCCAUUUGGCUAAGGGCACGUCCGCCUGGGCGUCAA